Molecule: ribosomal RNA, 253 nt
Filed under: uncultured bacterium
Lineage: Bacteria
Description: partial 16S ribosomal RNA
Rfam family: Bacterial small subunit ribosomal RNA
Source: RNAcentral
UACGAAGGUGGCAAGCGUUGUUCGGAUUUACUGGGCGUACAGGGAGCGUAGGCGGUUGGAUAAGCCCUCCGUGAAAUCUCCAGGCUUAACCUGGAAAGUGCAGAGGGGACUGUUCAGCUAGAGGAUGGGAGAGGAGCGCGGAAUUCCCGGUGUAGCGGUGAAAUGCGUAGAUAUCCGGAGGAACACCGGUGGCGAAGGCGGCUUCCUGGACCGACACUGACGCUGAGGCGCGAAAGCUUGGGGAGCAAACGGG